GGUAACAUGGCCGAGCGGUUAAGGCGGUGGACUUAAGAUCCACUUAUCGUAAGAUAGCGUGGGUUCGAUCCCCACUGUUACCA
Molecule: transfer RNA, 83 nt
Organism: Nosema bombycis CQ1
Lineage: Eukaryota; Fungi; Microsporidia; Nosematidae
Rfam family: tRNA
About the family: Transfer RNA (tRNA) molecules are approximately 80 nucleotides in length. Their secondary structure includes four short double-helical elements and three loops (D, anti-codon, and T loops).
Source: Rfam